Small nuclear RNA from Ailuropoda melanoleuca (giant panda), 107 nucleotides. The record is from Ensembl. Lineage: Eukaryota; Metazoa; Chordata; Mammalia; Carnivora; Ursidae.
GAGCUCGCUUUGGCAGCACAUAUACUAAAAUUGGAAUGAUACAGAAAAGAUUAGCAUGGCCCUUGUGUAAGGAUGACACACAAAUUUGUGAAGUGUCCCAUAUUUUU